AGCCUAUUAGCUCAAUUGGUCGAGCACUAAGUACACAGAAGAUGUAGGUUCAAGUCCUACAUAGGCUA
This 68-nucleotide transfer RNA is filed under the name Spinacia oleracea (spinach). It matches the Rfam family "tRNA". From Rfam's summary of the family: Transfer RNA (tRNA) molecules are approximately 80 nucleotides in length. Their secondary structure includes four short double-helical elements and three loops (D, anti-codon, and T loops). Lineage: Eukaryota; Viridiplantae; Streptophyta; Magnoliopsida; Caryophyllales; Amaranthaceae. The record is from Rfam by way of RNAcentral.